GGGGUUGUAGCUUAGUGGUUGAGCACUUGCCUUGCAUGCAUGAGGCACUGGGUUCGAUCCUUAGCAAGCACCA
Non-coding RNA from Ictidomys tridecemlineatus (thirteen-lined ground squirrel), 73 nucleotides. The record is from Rfam. NCBI's taxonomy places the organism in Eukaryota, Metazoa, Chordata, Mammalia, Rodentia, Sciuridae.